UGUGGGAGCGAGCCUGCUCGCGAUAGCGGUGGAUCAGCCAACAACAGCGCUGACUGGUAAACAGCUAUCGCGAGCAGGCUCGCUCCCACA
RNAcentral lists this unclassified non-coding RNA (90 nucleotides) under Pseudomonas mediterranea. Lineage: Bacteria; Pseudomonadati; Pseudomonadota; Gammaproteobacteria; Pseudomonadales; Pseudomonadaceae. The record is from RNAcentral.